AACAGGAUGCCUGAUAUGUAAUUCCGUUGUCUAAUAUUCGAGUUCGCAUCCACUAGAAAAUUUUUCUUUUGGCCCAUGGGAAGCCCAAUUAACAUUGGAGAAGACGAUUUAGGGCAUGAAAGCAGUUGUUUCUAAUUAGCAGAAGGCCACCUGGUGUGAAGAAGAUGCACAGUUUCACGGGCCCUGUACUUACGAAUGUAUGGCACUGGACUCUUUUAAGAUAAGU
RNAcentral lists this unclassified non-coding RNA (226 nucleotides) under Hevea brasiliensis (rubber tree). The record is from RNAcentral. Lineage: Eukaryota; Viridiplantae; Streptophyta; Magnoliopsida; Malpighiales; Euphorbiaceae.